AACGAACGCUGGCGGCAUGCCUAACACAUGCAAGUCGAACGAGACCUUCGGGUCUAGUGGCGCACGGGUGCGUAACGCGUGGGAAUCUGCCCUUAGGUACGGAAUAACUCAGGGAAACUUGAGCUAAUACCGUAUAAUGACUCCGGUCCAAAGAUUGAUCGCCUAAGGAUGAGCCCGCGUAGGAUUAGCUAGUUGGUGAGGUAAAAGCUCACCAAGGCGACGAUCCUUAGCUGGCUGAGAGGAUGAUCAGCCACACUGGGACUGAGACACGGCCCAGACUCCUACGGGAGGCAGCAGUGGGGAAUAUUGGACAAUGGGCGAAAGCCUGAUCCAGCAAUGCCGCGUGAGUGAUGAAGGCCUUAGGGUUGUAAAGCUCUUUUACCCGGGAUGAUAAUGACAGUACCGGGAGAAUAAGCCCCGGCUAACUCCGUGCCAGCAGCCGCCGU
This 446-nucleotide ribosomal RNA is filed under the name uncultured bacterium. RNAcentral describes it as "bacterial SSU rRNA". It matches the Rfam family "Bacterial small subunit ribosomal RNA", at positions 29 to 521 of the family's 1533-position model. The record is from RNAcentral.